Molecule: ribosomal RNA, 253 nt
Filed under: uncultured bacterium
Lineage: Bacteria
Description: partial 16S ribosomal RNA
Rfam family: Bacterial small subunit ribosomal RNA
Source: RNAcentral
UACGUAGGGUGCAAGCGUUAAUCGGAAUUACUGGGUUUAAAGGGUGCGUAGGUGGGUAGGUAAGUCAGUGGUGAAAUCUUCGAGCUUAACUCGGAAACUGCCAUUGAUACUAUUUAUCUUGAAUACUCUGGAGGUAAGCGGAAUAUGUCAUGUAGCGGUGAAAUGCUUAGAUAUGACAUAGAACACCAAUUGCGAAGGCAGCUUACUACAUAGUUAUUGACACUGAGGCACGAAAGCGUGGGGAUCAAACAGG